UGCCAGCAGCCGCGGUAAUACGGAGGGUGCGAGCGUUGUUCGGAAUGACUGGGCGUAAAGGGCGCGUAGGCGGUUUUGUUAGUCAGGCGUGAAAGCCCCGGGCUCAACCCGGGAACUGCGUUUGAUACUGCAAGACUUGAGGACGGAGGAGGAAAGUGGAAUUCCUAGUGUAGAGGUGAAAUUCGUAGAUAUUAGGAGGAACACCAGAGGCGAAGGCGGCUUUCUGGGUCGAUAUUGACGCUGAUGAACGAAAGCUAGGGUAUCAAACGGGAUUAGAUA
RNAcentral lists this ribosomal RNA (279 nucleotides) under uncultured bacterium. Its description in RNAcentral is "partial 16S ribosomal RNA". It matches the Rfam family "Bacterial small subunit ribosomal RNA", at positions 506 to 784 of the family's 1533-position model. The record is from RNAcentral.